AGUGAACGCUGGCGGCGUGCCUAAUACAUGCAAGUCGAACGGAGUGGCGCACGGGUGAGUAAUAUAUAGCUAAUCUGCCCCUUGCUGGAGGACAACAGUCAGAAAUGACUGCUAAUACUCCAUAGCAAGGGAUGAGACUAUAUCGUAUCAGCUAGUCGGUGGGGUAACGGCCUACCGAGGCUAUGACGCGUAACUGGUCUGAGAGGAUGAUCAGUCACAUUGGAACGGAGACACGGUCCACACUCCUACGGGAGGCAGCAGUAGGGAAGAGUACGCAAUGUGGGAGACCCUGACGCAGCAACGCCGCGUGAAGGAUGACACUUUUCGGGGCGUAAACUCCUUUUGUUAGUAAAGCGGUACCUAACGAAUAAGCACCGGCUAACUCCGUGCCAGCCGCCGCGGUAAUUC
RNAcentral lists this ribosomal RNA (408 nucleotides) under uncultured bacterium. RNAcentral's name for it is "partial 16S ribosomal RNA". It matches the Rfam family "Bacterial small subunit ribosomal RNA", at positions 29 to 526 of the family's 1533-position model. The record is from RNAcentral.